AGAUUAAGUUAUUAAGGGCGCACGGUGGAUGCCUUGGCACUAGAAGCCUACGAAGGACGUUACUAACGACGAUAUGCUUUGGGGAGCUGUAAGUAAGCUUUGAUCCAGAGAUUUCCGAAUGGGGAAACCCAACACGAGUUAUGUCGUGUUAUCGAUAUGUGAAUACAUAGCAUAUCUGAAGGCAGACGCGGGGAACUGAAACAUCUUAGUACCCGCAGGAAGAGAAAGAAAAAUCGAUUCCCUGAGUAGCGGCGAGCGAAACGGGAAGAGCCCAAACCAACGAGCUUGCUUGUUGGGGUUGUAGGACACUCUAUACGGAGUUACAAAAGAACAAAUUAGACGAAUCAUCUGGAAAGAUGAAUCAAAGAAGGUAAUAAUCCUGUAGUCGAAAGUUUGUUCACUCUUGAGUGGAUCCUGAGUACGACGGAACACGAGAAAUUCCGUCGGAAUCCGGGAGGACCAUCUCCCAAGGCUAAAUACUCUCUAGUGACCGAUAGUGAACCAGUACCGUGAGGGAAAGGUGAAAAGUACCCCGGAAGGGGAGUGAAAUAGAACUUGAAACCGUGUGCUUACAAGUAGUCAGAGCCCGUUAAUGGGUGAUGGCGUGCCUUUUGUAGAAUGAACCGGCGAGUUACGAUUUGAUGCAAGGUUAAGCAGUUAAUGUGGAGCCGUAGCGAAAGCGAGUCUGAAUAGGGCGUUGAGUAUUUGGUCGUAGACCCGAAACCAGGUGAUCUACCCAUGACCAGGCUGAAGUUCAGGUAACACUGAAUGGAGGGCCGAACCGACUUACGUUGAAAAGUGAGCGGAUGAGUUGUGGGUAGCGGAGAAAUUCCAAUCGAACCUGGAGAUAGCUGGUUCUCUCCGAAAUAGCUUUAGGGCUAGCCUUAAGUAAUGAUUAUUGGAGGUAGAGCACUGUUUGGACGAGGGGCCCUUAUCGGGUUACCGAAUUCAGACAAACUCCGAAUGCCAAUCAAUUUUAUCUUAGGAGUUAGAACGCGGGUGAUAAGGUCCGUGUUCGAAAGGGAAACAGCCCAGACCACCAGCUAAGGUCCCAAAAUAUAUGUUAAGUGGAAAAGGAUGUGGCGUUGCCCAGACAACUAGUAUGUUGGCUUAGAAGCAGCCAUCAUUUAAAGAGUGCGUAAUAGCUCACUAGUCGAGUGACACUGCGCCGAAAAUGUACCGGGGCUAAACAUAUUACCGAAGCUGUGGAUUGUCCGUAAGGACAGUGGUAGGAGAGCGUUCUAAGGGCGUUGAAGCAUGAUCGCAAGGACAUGUGGAGCGCUUAGAAGUGAGAAUGCCGGUGUGAGUAGCGAAAGACGGGUGAGAAUCCCGUCCACCGAUUGACUAAGGUUUCCAGAGGAAGGCUCGUCCGCUCUGGGUUAGUCGGGUCCUAAGCUGAGGCCGAUAGGCGUAGGCGAUGGAUAACAGGUUGAUAUUCCUGUACCACCAAAUUUCGUUUUAAGCGAUGGGGGGACGCAGUAGGAUAGGCGAAGCGUACUAUUGGAUUGUACGUCCAAGCAAUGAGACUGAGUGUUAGGCAAAUCCGGCACUCUUAAGGUCAAGUUGUGAUGGGGAGAGGAAAUUGUUUCCUCGAGUCGUUGAUUUCACACUGCCAAGAAAAGCCUCUAGCUAGAAUUUUGGUGCCCGUACCGCAAACCGACACAGGUAGUCAAGAUGAGAAUUCUAAGGUGAGCGAGCGAACUCUCGUUAAGGAACUCGGCAAAAUGACCCCGUAACUUCGGGAGAAGGGGUGCUCUUUAGGGUUAACGCCCAGGAGAGCCGCAGUGAAUAGGCCCAAGCGACUGUUUAUCAAAAACACAGGUCUCUGCUAAACCGUAAGGUGAUGUAUAGGGGCUGACGCCUGCCCGGUGCUGGAAGGUUAAGAGGAGUGGUUAGCUUCGGCGAAGCUACGAAUCGAAGCCCCAGUAAACGGCGGCCGUAACUAUAACGGUCCUAAGGUAGCGAAAUUCCUUGUCGGGUAAGUUCCGACCCGCACGAAAGGCGUAACGAUUUGGGCACUGUCUCAACGAGAGACUCGGUGAAAUCAUAGUACCUGUGAAGAUGCAGGUUACCCGCGACAGGACGGAAAGACCCCGUGGAGCUUUACUGUAGUCUGAUAUUGAAAUUCGGUGCAACUUGUACAGGAUAGGUAGGAGCCUUUGAAACGUGAGCGCCAGCUUACGUCGAGGCGUUGGUGGGAUACUACCCUUGCUGUGUUGGAUUUCUAACCCGCACCAUUUAUCAUGGUGGGAGACAGUGUCAGAUGGACAGUUUGACUGGGGCGGUCGCCUCCUAAAGAGUAACGGAGGCGCUCAAAGGUUUCCUCAGAAUGGUUGGAAAUCAUUCAUAGAGUGUAAAGGCAUAAGGAAGCUUGACUGCGAGACUUACAAGUCGAGCAGGGUCGAAAGACGGACUUAGUGAUCCGGUGGUUCCGCAUGGAAGGGCCAUCGCUCAACGGAUAAAAGCUACCCCGGGGAUAACAGGCUUAUCUCCCCCAAGAGUUCACAUCGACGGGGAGGUUUGGCACCUCGAUGUCGGCUCAUCGCAUCCUGGGGCUGUAGUCGGUCCCAAGGGUUGGGCUGUUCGCCCAUUAAAGCGGUACGCGAGCUGGGUUCAGAACGUCGUGAGACAGUUCGGUCCCUAUCCGUCGUGGGCGCAGGAAAUUUGAGAGGAGCUGUCCUUAGUACGAGAGGACCGGGAUGGACAUACCUCUGGUGUACCAGUUGUCGUGCCAACGGCAUCGCUGGGUAGCUAUGUAUGGACGGGAUAAGUGCUGAAAGCAUCUAAGCAUGAAGCCCCCCUCAAGAUGAGAUUUCCCAACUUCGGUUAUAAGAUCCCUCAAAGAUGAUGAGGUUAAUAGGUUCGAGGUGGAAGCAUAGCGAUAUGUGGAGCUGACGAAUACUAAUCGAUCGAAGACUUAAUCAAAUUUAAAAAGUGUU
RNAcentral lists this ribosomal RNA (2939 nucleotides) under Staphylococcus equorum. RNAcentral describes it as "bacterial LSU rRNA". It matches the Rfam family "Bacterial large subunit ribosomal RNA". The record is from RNAcentral. Lineage: Bacteria; Bacillati; Bacillota; Bacilli; Caryophanales; Staphylococcaceae.